AACGCAGCAGGGCUCAGAUGGAAAGCUUGCUGGUCUGAGUCAUCAUAUACACAGCAGCUAUCAGAGUAAUUUAGUUACAGAGCAACCUGCAUUGUAAAAAACACACUCGCAGGCCAUGGUGGACUCUCCUGGCAGGAGGCUAGACAAAGACAGAAGAGUCAGCUGAGUAGCUGGAGGGACUCACUUGAAAGGAGCUUCCUGUGCGAUUCCUGCAGACUAAGAUGCUGUCAAGGCAAAGGAACAACCUUGGCAAAUUUCCUCACCUCCUGACCACUUGGCAGCCUCCUGUGCCAUCCAGGUAAG
This is a long non-coding RNA of Podarcis raffonei (Aeolian wall lizard), 303 nucleotides long. RefSeq lists it as uncharacterized. The record is from RefSeq and is a predicted model, not a curated record. The transcript has 2 exons. Lineage: Eukaryota; Metazoa; Chordata; Lepidosauria; Squamata; Lacertidae.